Non-coding RNA from Drosophila melanogaster (fruit fly), 432 nucleotides. NCBI's taxonomy places the organism in Eukaryota, Metazoa, Arthropoda, Insecta, Diptera, Drosophilidae. The record is from Ensembl.
AUUUCCAUCGAUUCGAUUUCUUCAGCUCGCUGCGAUUCUUCUUUCUCCGCUGCUUGUAUUUUGUAUUUUCGAUGGCCUGUUUCAUGUUUGACGCAACAAUCCAGCAGUUCAGUUCACAAGUGGAUAAUAUUCGAUGGACACAAUGCAUUCUGGACAUAUUGCCGAACUAUUAGAGCCGAUUUACGCCUCAUUCGAUCGGAUUCUGAGCUCUUCAGCCACAUUGGACCAUAGCAUACUGGCAUACCAAGGUUUAUGGCCCUGUACCGUUGCACGAUCCCAAGUGGAAGUGGAAGUCCCUGCCCCAAAACGAAGAAGAACACCAGCAGCUACGACAGCAGCGGCCUCGAAAGAUAUUCUAUCUGUAUCUUUUGGCUGCCUCUUCAGUUCGCCUUGUGGGAGAUCUGUUAUCGCGCGCCUGUAGCUGCCUGACUU